ACGGCGGCUCCGCAGGGACAAAAAGUGUCGGAGCACGGCCGCGAAUCCCCGUGCGUGCCGGAAGGCUCCCCUCUGCCGCCCCGCCGUGCAGUGCAAGGGACUCAUCCGCAGGAGCCGUUUCUCGGGAAUCACGCGAGCGCUGACAUCUGCACGGAGCCCUGCGCUACAGCACAGCGGUGUCCUCAGAGCUCCUCAUGCCCCUCCUACCCUCUUGCUAACAGGACAGUAGAAGAUGAAAAAACUGACGUCCUUGGCUCUGUACAGCAUUGUUCAGCAACACCUAAAACACUGAGGCUCAUUCUGCACAGCCUGAGGUGCCCUGACAAGCAAGAAAGGCAGCAAAGCCCUCACCCAGCGAGGCUAUGCACUCAUACGUCUCCAGCAUCACGUCCCGGUAGAGCGCUCGCUGCGCAGGGUCCAGCAGCGCCCACUCCUCCCUGCUGAAAUACACGGCCACCUCCGCAAAGCUCACGGGCUCCUGCAAGCAAACAGCUCCUUGCUGCGACCACCUGGGGCCUGGGGAAGCAGCUUGUUGAGAAGAGAAACCCCAGCCCCAGCAACUUCUCAAACAGCAGCACACAAAUGCUGCACAAGAGCAUCCCAUUCUCCCGCUGCAGUCACAUCCCUUGCACCUCUGCCUCGCUGGCUGCUUCCCCAAGCCCCUACCUGGGAUGGAUGCGCUGUGGCCAUUUGCUGCCCUCCUGCAGGCUGGCACGAUCGCAAGUGAAAGGCAGGGAGCCUCCUGGGACAAGAGGAACAGUAGGGCAGUUCUGAGGGAAUGCAGCAGUCCCCAUCCAACCCAGCCCUCC
Long non-coding RNA from Numida meleagris (helmeted guineafowl), 809 nucleotides. RefSeq lists it as uncharacterized. The transcript is spliced from 3 exons. NCBI's taxonomy places the organism in Eukaryota, Metazoa, Chordata, Aves, Galliformes, Numididae. The record is from RefSeq and is a predicted model, not a curated record.